AACGUUAAUCAAUUCUCCGGGUAGUGAAUGGCGUGGUGACACCGGGAGGGGAGAUGCACGGCAGAAAGAAAGGAGCCCCCAGCCGCGGUGAGGAAAAGAGGGCAAGAGGAAGGAGAUGGAAAUGAGUUCAACACUGAAGAGGAGGAAAAAGCACUGCUGCAUCAAACCAUCUUUGGUCAACAGCUGCCAGGAGAAUAAAUCUACCUCAGCUCAG
Molecule: non-coding RNA, 214 nt
Organism: Zonotrichia albicollis (white-throated sparrow)
Lineage: Eukaryota; Metazoa; Chordata; Aves; Passeriformes; Passerellidae
Source: RefSeq, a predicted model, not a curated record